This 450-nucleotide ribosomal RNA is filed under the name uncultured bacterium. Its description in RNAcentral is "bacterial SSU rRNA". It matches the Rfam family "Bacterial small subunit ribosomal RNA", at positions 328 to 793 of the family's 1533-position model. The record is from RNAcentral.
AAGCCAGACUCCUACGGGAGGCAGCAGUGGGGAAUAUUGCACAAUGGGGGGAACCCUGAUGCAGCGACGCCGCGUGGGUGAAGGAGCACCUCGGUGCGUAAAGCCCUAUCGGCAGGGAAGAAACAGACGGUACCUGACUAAGAAGCCCCGGCUAACUACGUGCCAGCAGCCGCGGUAAUACGUAGGGGGCAAGCGUUAUCCGGAUUCACUGGGUGUAAAGGGAGCGUAGACGGCGACGCAAGUCUGGAGUGAAAGCCCGGGGCCCAACCCCGGGACUGCUCUGGAAACUGCGGCGCUGGAGUACGGGAGGGGCAGGCGGAAUUCCUGGUGUAGCGGUGAAAUGCGUAGAUAUCAGGAGGAACACCGGCGGCGAAGGCGGCCUGCUGGACCGUGACUGACGUUGAGGCUCGAGAGCGUGGGGAGCAAACAGGAUUAGAUACCCGGGUAAAG